GGGUUAGUAGGUUGGUCAUGCCUCUGGUAUGUACUGAUCUCACUGAUUCCUCCUUCCUGAUGAGCCGUAAUGCCAUUAAUUUGGUGUUGCGGGGAAUUUGGACUGUUACUUUGAAAAAAUUAGAGUGUUUAAAGCAAGCUAACGCUUGAAUACAUUAGCAUGGAAUAAUGAAAUAGGACGUUCGAUCCUAUUUUGUUGGUUUUCGGAACUUGAGGUA
This 217-nucleotide ribosomal RNA is filed under the name Campeiostachys nutans. RNAcentral describes it as "Elymus nutans partial small subunit ribosomal RNA". It matches the Rfam family "Eukaryotic small subunit ribosomal RNA", at positions 644 to 865 of the family's 1831-position model. Lineage: Eukaryota; Viridiplantae; Streptophyta; Magnoliopsida; Poales; Poaceae. The record is from RNAcentral.